GUCGAGUUAGAGGAUCUAAAAAUAAUGCGUUGAAGGUGCAUUGAAGAGCUUGACUCUUUCUUGGCA
This 66-nucleotide transfer RNA is filed under the name Physella acuta. Its description in RNAcentral is "transfert RNA-F(TTC)". The record is from RNAcentral. Lineage: Eukaryota; Metazoa; Mollusca; Gastropoda; Physidae.